GAUGAACGCUAGCGGCAGGCCUAAUACAUGCAAGUCGAACGAGAUUAAGAGGCUUGCUUCUUAUGAAAGUGGCGCACGGGUGCGUAACGCGUAUGCAACCUACCUUAAUCAGGGGGAUAGCCCGAAGAAAUUCGGAUUAAGACCGCAUAAAAACACAGGAUAGCAUUAUCCAAUGUUCAAAUAUUUAUAGGAUUAAGAUGGGCAUGCGUGUCAUUAGCUAGUUGGCGGGGUAACGGCCCACCAAGGCGACGAUGACUAGGGGAUCUGAGAGGAUGACCCCCCACAUGGGUACGGAGCCACGGACCAGACCCCUACGGGAGGAAGCAGAAGGGAAUAUGGAUCAAUGGAGGGAACUCUGACCCACCCAUGCCGGGGGCAGGAAGACACCCCUCGGGGUCGAAACCUGUUUUUAUUGGGGAAUAACCCUUUCUACGUGUAGGAAGAUGAAGGAACCGAAGAAAAAAGAUCCGGCUACCCCCGUG
Molecule: ribosomal RNA, 482 nt
Filed under: uncultured bacterium
Lineage: Bacteria
Description: partial 16S ribosomal RNA
Rfam family: Bacterial small subunit ribosomal RNA
Source: RNAcentral